Molecule: unclassified non-coding RNA, 326 nt
Filed under: soil metagenome
Description: partial contains 5.8S ribosomal RNA, internal transcribed spacer 2, and large subunit ribosomal RNA
Rfam family: 5.8S ribosomal RNA (bases 1-119)
Source: RNAcentral
GAUGAAGAACGUAGUGAAAUGCGAUAAGUAAUGCGAAUUGCAGAAUCCGUGAGUCAUCGAAUCUUUGAACGCACAUUGCGCCCCUUGGUAUUCCGGGGGGCAUGCCUGUUCGAGCGUCAUUAUAACCCCUCAAGCUCAGCUUGGUGUUGGGGCCUGCCAACUGGCAGCCCUUAAAAUCAGUGGCGGCGCCAUCUGGCUCUAAGCGUAGUAAUUUCUCUCGCUAUAGGGUCCCGGUGGAUGCUUGCCAACAACCCCCAAUUUUCUAUGGUUGACCUCGGAUCAGGUAGGGAUACCCGCUGAACUUAAGCAUAUCAAUAAGCGGAGGA